UCCCCAAUAUAAAUACAACAACACUCACAACCAGACCCUCCCAAAGCCGCUAUCACUUCCUCUCUUUCUGCACAGCCUUCUCUGCACAUCUAGGAUUUCUGAAGCUAGUUUCAUUUCUGCCACACCAUGAGGGCCAAGUGGAAGAAGAAGCGCAUGAGGAGGUUGAAGAGGAAGCGCCGAAAGAUGAGACAGAGAUCCAAGUAGAAGCAGUCAUCGAUCGACGUUCAGCUCGGCCGGAAUUUCGUUUGUUUUCGUGUUUUUCUAAUCAAGUAAUCAGCAUCGAUUAGUUCAGUUGUAGAAGAACCUUUUUCUAUAAAUUUGUACUGUUUGAACACAUUUGCUGCUU
Long non-coding RNA from Argentina anserina (silverweed cinquefoil), 346 nucleotides. RefSeq lists it as uncharacterized. The record is from RefSeq and is a predicted model, not a curated record. NCBI's taxonomy places the organism in Eukaryota, Viridiplantae, Streptophyta, Magnoliopsida, Rosales, Rosaceae. The transcript has 2 exons.